AGCAAUUCACGGUUCAGGAAUGUUAGUGUAAAGGGAGUUAGGUUCAGCCCAUUACCAAGAACAAAUCACAAAGUCUACAUAAAUUGCAAACUAACAGUUGUAAUAUUAUGGAAUGGGUGAAAGAGGUUGGAACCGGCUAAGAUGCUGUAUCCUCACAUUAUUUGCUCUGCUAAGUGUACUGAGCAUCUCAUCUACUUGAUGGGUUGGUUGGUGCUUUUCAGCUCAUCUGCUCUGUCCUCCCAUUGGCCAAGUUCUAUCAAGUAUCCUGAUCCAGGCCAGCACAGCCAAGAUAUUGGAUGAAGAAAAAACUAUCCACCGGGAGUCAUGCUGCUCUGUUCUGAUUGGAUGAUGAUGUCCCAGAGUUCGGAAAAUGGCAAAGUCUCUGCCCAUGAAGUCUGCUGCUGUGCCAGAGUACAAUUCUCCAUCUGCGGGAGGAUUGAAUUGUAAGAAACAUUUCUCAAUUUUCCAGUCAUGCUUCUCCAGCUUUCAGUAUACCCACUCCAGUGACUGCAAUUUCAACUGAUUUGCUUUGAUUUCCAGAAGGAACCAUCUAAAGACCACCUUUGGGACUGAAAAUAGGGGAAGAGGAAUUAGUUUUCCCAUGUACUGAACAGAAGCCACAUGGAACUGUAUGACUCUCCCCAACGUCUUCCCAAGUUCAUUAGAUGCUAUUAUGUUAAAAGCUGAAAUGUAUACUUUUUUUUUUUUUUGGUUGUUGUUGUUGUUGAAUUGUUUCUAUUUAGCCCUUAAAAAAAAUAAAUACAAAUCUGUAUUCUUAAAUAUAUAUAUAUAUCUUUUUGGAGAGUACAAAAACUAUAAAUAAAAAAAACUAUAAAACUAUAUAUAACUAAAAUUAAGAUUUGUAGAAGUACACAACAGUGGCUUGAAGAAAUUCCUGUUAAAAUUAAAAGUCAAAACAUCCCAGAAACUAAAAUAAAUUAAAAAAUCCUGAAUCUCAAAUGAAUUUAGUAGCUAAAUUCUAAUAAAUUGGACCAUACUCUCUUCCUUUGUAAGAAGCUACUGUAUUUCAGAUCACAUUAAUCUAUAUUUGAAAGUAUAAAGACAUCUAAACCAGUGCCAAUAUAUAUAUAUAUUAAAAAUAAGUGAAACAUGAAACAUUUUUUUUAUUUUUUUUUUCCAACUAUCCCCAUACAAUUGCUUUAGACUAAUAAAUUCAGUGAUAAUUUUCUCCUGUGAUUACUUCCUGUGAACACCAUGCUCCCUCUCAUUUUCCUCCUACCCUGGAAUAGUGCCCAGGGACUGCUUAGUCUCUACAUUCUCAUGCAUUAGCCUACUCAUUGGGGAUUGUUUAGUUAGCAGCAUAUAGAUGGGGAUAGCUGUAUAAUGUCUUACAUUACUGGAAACUAGUUAUAUCAUGUUCCCAGCUGGUAUUUACUUAAGAGUAGAGUAACAAUAACUACUUUUAUUGAACAACUCUCAAAAAAUAAUGAAAAAAUAUUUGCAGGAUGAAACGAAGAACACACAUUAGAAAAAUAUUGGAACAAUUUAAUAAUGGUGAACUUUUGCAGUUGUUUUUCCAAAUAUUAUUGAUUUUAUUAGGAGAGAAGGAACUCUGAAGAUCCUUUUUAUAGAAGUUUCAGCUGAAACAGAAAAUAAGAAUUCUGAGUAUUAAUGGCUAUUAAAGAUCUUAAAUUACUUUUUGUAAAUUAACCUUGGUAUUUUGACCAAAUUCCAGCUUGUGUAAUUACAUUUUACAUACCUAAGAUUUACCCUCUAGUUAAAAAGUCGAGAAUAUACAACUUUCCCCCACUUUGUAAAAUCUUUCUUUAAUGUUUUUGAUGAAGAAUGUAAGUUAUUUUUUCCUUCUUGCAUUUAACCAUACAAAUUACUUUUACUUCUCAGCUUUCUUUUUCCUUAUAGCUACAUUGUGUUACUAAUUACAAUGUUGAAUUUUAAUGAGUGCUGGGUAAGUUUUUUUACAGUUGCCCUCUUGAACCUAAAAUGAUCCUUAUUCGCUUGUGAAUAGGGACUGGCAAAAAAGGGGCCAGGAGCAGCUGAGUAUCAUUCAGCUUAGAAGGGAAAAGGCAGUCCAUUCCUGUUCUUUGUAUAGGGGAUUUGUGGUCAAGAAGGUCUUCUGGCCUUCAUAGUCCCAUUCAUUACUUCAUGCCAGUGCUACCUGCUUCAGAAAGCAGUUGGAUCGUACCUCUCCAUACCUUGGACAGGUCAGUACCAGUUUCUCACCUCCCAGGGUGGUAUGAAGUUUCUCACCUCCAACCUCAGGACAGGAAAUUAUUUUACCUUUGGUCAUCAUUUUGCCACAAAUUUUGUUUUUUGGCAAAGAUAAGAGUAAGCCAUUCUGAACCAGUGGUGAAUCUGCUGUACACUUAAAUAUCAGGGGAAUGUCUUCAGUAAAAGAUUGAAAUAAAUGCAGCAUUACAAUCAUUAACACAAUAUAAUUGUGAAGCAGCUAUGAAUAGUCAGAGGAAAAAGGGUGUUCAUAUUCAGGAUGCAGGAAUGUUAAUUUUAGCUUCACCCUGAGUUUUGUGUAUCACUAAAGCAGAAAUUAGUCACUGGCAUUGAAUUUUGAAACUGUGCCAUUUUACACAGUGUUAACACACCCAUGAUUCUAUUUGAAGUCUAAUUCAGAUCAAAAUAUGAUGCUCAGUCUACUAUUUAUUAGGAAGAAGAAUACAUGGAGUGAAAAUUAUAGUGAUAGAGAGUAGGGUCAAGAAAGCAAAGAUGUUUUAAAGACAUGAAAUCUAAGCCAAGGGAAAUAAGAUAAUCAUAUUUGUGCAGGACUGAGUUUAAAAAAAAAAAAAAAGUAAAAGAAUGUGAAAAGCUAGACGCUGUUGACUUUGUGCAGUUGCAUACCGGGUAUACCAUGUAAUACUGGCUUGUCAUCAUUCUCUUUCUUUAUUGUAUAUUAAAGUAAAUAGUAAAGCCAUUCCCUUGAGAGCAUCUCUGCCACAAAUUCAUGUUGCUCCAGGCACUAAUUUAUACAAUGGCCUUUUACACACAAUUUUUUUCCCUUCUGUUUGUAUGGGGUACAAGUUGGAGCAAGAUGUGGACAUCUUUUUUGUUUUCCCCUUUUAAAAAGUGCAUGUCCCCAGGGUAGCUCAUCACCUGUGAUCAUUAUGGGCUUCGAAGAUCAGGAAAUGAGGCCCACUGAAGAUUAAAUUUUUGUUGCUGUCUCUUUUGAAUAGCUUCACUUUUAAGUGCAAUGUAAAUACAAUACAGGUAGUUGCUAGGAAAGACUAGUAAUACAGGCAAAGUCCUGGAUGAAAC
Molecule: long non-coding RNA, 3246 nt
Organism: Anas platyrhynchos (mallard)
Lineage: Eukaryota; Metazoa; Chordata; Aves; Anseriformes; Anatidae
Source: RefSeq, a predicted model, not a curated record